GAAAAUGGCGGAUGAGGCCGGGCGCGGUGGCUCACGCCUGUGGUCCCAGCACUUUGGGAGGCCGAGGCGGGCGGAUCACAAGGUCAGGAAAUCGAGACCAUCCUGGCGAACACUGUGAAACCCCGUCUCUUCUAAAAAUACAAAAAAAAAUUAGCCAGGCGUGGUGGCGGGCGCUUGUAGUCCCAGCUACUCAGGAUGCUGAGGCAGGAGAAUGGCGUGAACCCGGGAGGCGCAGCUUGCAGCGAGCCAAGAUGGCGCCGCUGCACUCCAGCCUGGGCAGCAGAGCGAGACUCCAUCUCAAAAAAAAAAAAAAAAAAAAAGAAAAGAAAAGAAACUGGCGGACAAAGGAAGAGAUCCUCCUUCAGGCAGGGUAGGGAAGAAGGGCACUCGGUGACCAGAGACCUUUUCCAGGACCAUGUCUUUGAAGCAAAUCUCAGCUCUUGUCUUCCGGAAGCGAUGGAGACAGAAUCCAGAAGCCUGAGACUCUCUCCUUUCCUGGCUUUGAUGAAGCAAGCUGCCACACUGGAGAGGCCUACAUGAUAAGGACCUGAAGGUGGCCUCCAGCUAGCUCCAGCCAACAGUUGGCAAGGAAUUGAGGACCUGAGUCCAAUAGACCUUGAGGAACUGAAUCCUGCAACAGCUACACAAGUGAGCAUGGCAGUGUAUCCUUCCCCAGUAAAGCCUUCAGAUGAGACCCCAGCCCCAGCUGACACCUUGAUUGAAGCCUUGUGAGAGACCCUGAAGCAGAGAAACCAGCUAGGCCUUGCCUGGAUUCCUGAUCCACAAACUGCUUUUGUGAUGCCCUAUAAUUACAUGAACUCUACUAAAAAGAGGGAUACUGGAAAGAAGAAUAAUGUUGAGACACCUUUGCAGAAGAAAAAACAACUUCCUCUCUUCCUCUACUUCACUCUGGCAAGUUCUCCAACCUGACAAGCCAGUAGGGAGUGCCGGAAUGUCAUGGCUGAGAAAAGAGAUGUUAACAGGCUGUAUGAUGUUGGCCACAGAGUGCCCCCCUAAAGAGGCCUCAGAAGAAUGAAGGGAGUGCCGGAAUGUCAUGGCUGAGAAAAGAGAUGUUAACAGGCUGUAUGAUGUUGGCCACAGAGUGCCCCCCUAAAGAGGCCUCAGAAGAAUGAAGGGUAAGAAGCUCCUCCAUGAAAUCAGAUGGCACAAAAUUAGAGGAAAAAGAGUCCUUGGCAUGAGGCUGCCACCAGGAGAAUUCUGAAGAUGCAGGGCAUGAAUGGUCAAUGCCUUUCGUUGUUGGGGCAGAGGUGGAUGACCCACCAGAGCCACCUAGAGAUAACAUUUCCGGAAAAGUCUUCAAGACGGUGAGAUUUGAUUUAGACUGAGUCACAGUGCAAUCUUCCGGUGGUAAAGCAGAUGGGGUUGGUGGUCCAUGAUGACGAGCACAUGAAUCAGUGCGAUUCACGGCCUGGGAAAUAUCUUGGCAUAGGGUGGAGCCAAAUGAAAAGAUGGUGUUCAGAGACAAACUGGCCUCAGGUUGGAGGCUGGGCUCCACUCUCUCAAUGUGAUGUGGUGGGAGAAGGGGAAAGGGAAGCUGUUGGGGUGGGGAAUGGUCUAUGGGGAACUUGGAAUCCAAGGGAGAAACAGGCUGUGGUGGCAGAGGGUCCCUCAGUGGUGAGGGUGAAAAUAAGUCAGCUAAGGUGGUGAUCAGGUCAGGUGAGAGAAUUAAGGGGGGUGGUGGAGAGGGCUUAGGCCGAGAGGACAAUAUUAGGUCUUCUGGAGUGGUUGCUGAGGGGGUGGAAGCCAGAGUGAACGAUGACUCAGCCCCAGAAGCUGAAGAAGCCAAAGGGGACACAGAGGGAGCAGCAUCUUUCAGGGACUCCCAAGACAGCAGUCGCUGGAUAUCAGCAGUUGCUCUGUUACACACCCGACAGACAGGGUCUGGGCAUAACAGUCGACGAAAGAGGGUGGUAUCAUGAUGCUGGCCCAGGGGACUGCAGGAAACAGGAGGUCCAAAGCUGCAGCCAGGAUCAGAACAAGGAAAUGAGGAUCUGUUAGCCUGGCAGGGGUGGGGCCCCCUGAAUCCUGCUUCACAUUACCCCCCAUCCAUGAGCUCACCGUAUGUGAGGUCAUAUGACCUCACUAUAGCCUCUCCUCAAAGCAUUCAUUCACAUAUCCGUUCCUAUGGCUACCCACUCCCAAAACUACAGCAGGCUACAAGGAAUCCCUGAAAUGAAUAGAACAUGC
Molecule: long non-coding RNA, 2208 nt
Organism: Homo sapiens (human)
Lineage: Eukaryota; Metazoa; Chordata; Mammalia; Primates; Hominidae
Source: Ensembl